RNAcentral lists this long non-coding RNA (2332 nucleotides) under Rattus norvegicus (Norway rat). Its description in RNAcentral is "long non-coding RNA NONRATT023721". The record is from RNAcentral. Lineage: Eukaryota; Metazoa; Chordata; Mammalia; Rodentia; Muridae.
ACACACACACACACACACCUGUUUUCUGUCUUAUUAAAACAGGGUCUCACGUAGUCCAGGUUGAUCUCAAACUUGCUGUGUCCCAAGGAUGACUUUGAACUCCUGGUCCUCCUGCCUCUGUCUCCUAAGUGCUGGGACUGGAGGUGUGUGCCACCAUCCCUAUCAACAACAGAAGAGUGUCCCUUGCCUUCAGACACUGUCAGAUGCUGAAGUCUGCAUUUGCCAUUGGGAAGCCUCGGUGCAGAUUCAGUUGAAGAUAACCAUUCCAUCCACACAAGUCAUCUGCCAGGUAAAGGGAUUAUAUGCAUAUAUUUUGUUUUGAGGUGAUGUCUCACAGUGUGGCCCAGGUUGGUCUCAAACUCCAGGCCUGUGGGUCUUCCAACUUGACUGGAUCCAGGCACACGCCCUUGUCAUCCUGGGACUUUAGAGUUGGAUGCAGUAGAUCAGGAAUUCAAGGCCAUCCUUGGCUACACUGUGCUUGGCCCUGCCAAGCUCAGCAGUUUGCUACUUCUGGUUGUAGGAUAGACCCUAGCUGUCAGCAAGCAUGUUUUCAACUGGGGAGGUUUUGUGUUCCUCAUUAUACAGUACAUGCUCUGAUUUUCUAAGUGAUCAUAACCCAGUUUUUAAAUUUGUCUUGGCUUUCAUUUUCUACCCACCAAUUAAAGAACAUCUAUUGCUCUUUUUUAAGUCGAGACACUCAAAUCUGUGUGCAUCCUGUUACCUUGGUCACCAGCAGUUGUGUCAGCACCUUACGUGGGGUUCCCUGGAUACUCACAUUCAUGGAAUUAAAAUGUAAACAGUGGUAACGGGGACCCAGGCUCAAAGAAUGCAUGGAGUUAAAGGUUUGCUGUGGGAUGUCCCUCUCCCUCUGCUUAGAAAAUCAGGUUCUAUUCAAGACUCGUGGUGGGCCUGGGCUAUAUAUUUUAUGUAAACUAUUUUUAGACUGGAGGAUUUAGUUUUAAGAGGAAAGCUUUGAGCGCAAUUAAACCAUGGAGGUGUACCAGAUUCUUCGAUGCCUUGGGGUCACUCCUGCUUGCUUGCCUUCUAUAAAGCCUCAGACCUCACCUGCAAGGUGAACUUGGUCACCCUCCACUUCCCUCUGUGUUCCCUAAUGCAUCUGUCUUAAAGGGAACAUUGUCUGGGUGUGGUGUAAUCUCAGCCUGCAGGAGGCUGAGGCAGGAGGAUUGCCUGGGAUACAUGAGUAACCCCUCUCUCAGAAUAAGGUAUGUUCCUUUUCUCGCUGUGACAGUUCAGAGGAACAGUCCUGGAGAAAUGUUUGCUUCUAGCCAAGAAUCCUGCGUUCUAGAGACUCAUUCUGCACAAAACUAAGUACAUGGACCAAGUAAGAUGUAUGAACCUUGAGCAGCCACGUGACAAGUGACUACUGCUGUUUCAAACUCCCCUCGUUGUGUUCUCCAGGGCCAUCUUCCUCCUCAAGAGUGCCACUGUCUCCCUCAGUCUUGGGCAGAGCACAAUUCAUAGUCAGGAUUACCAAAUGUAUUCAGCGCGGUGGCAUAUCCCGUCAUCUCAGCGCUUGGGAGGCAGAGGUAUGAGGACUUUGCAAGUUUAAGGCCAGCCUGGGCCAUGUACCACGACCCUGUCUCAUCAACGAGGGGGCUCCUGGAUGUCCAGGUGCCCCAGACAGAUAGCAGUGACCGUGCAUCUCUGGCUGUGGCUGGGGACUUAUCUUCCUGGUAGCUUCUAGUCAAGGCUAGAAGUGAUCUCAGAUAAGUCAGCAUGCAGACACCACUAACUGGCUUCAUGUUCUCCUGGAAACCUGCAGUUCUUGAAGUGAGUCCUGAGACCUGGCAGGUCCUGCGUGGCCUGGACUGGAUGUGCGUUCUUGACAUGAGGAGGGUUUCUUAUCUAUCUAUGCAGAUAACGCGUGGUUUUCUGUACUGUUCCUUUUUGAUCUCCACUCUUCCAAAGUCAGACUGAGGACAAAGGGGGGACAGCAGGUGUCAGUCCCGCGCCGUGCCCUCUGCUGUCAGCCCGAGUAUUUAUUAUGUCACUGUGUUACUGCACAUUGAUUUCAUUACUGAACCGCAGCUGGAUUUAGUCUCGAAUCCGGCCUGUCCGCGGCCCCCCUGGUCCUGUGCACUGUAGUGAAUCCUUGCUGCACUUGCAGAAACUGGUCAGUGAGCUUUGUCCCUGUGUCCCGUGAUCUUAGUGUGCUUGACGUGAUGGGCCAUAGUUCAUUAUCAGCUUCAACUCUCCUGUGUCCUCAGGAUUUCUAACAUUCCUCGUCCUGUAAGGAGGUAACAAAGGCAGACAUGUGAUUACCUGUAACAGAUUUUGAUGUUGAACUAAUAAAAACUUGUUUUGUAAGUCA